This is a long non-coding RNA of Nematostella vectensis (starlet sea anemone), 148 nucleotides long. RefSeq lists it as uncharacterized. The record is from RefSeq and is a predicted model, not a curated record. NCBI's taxonomy places the organism in Eukaryota, Metazoa, Cnidaria, Anthozoa, Actiniaria, Edwardsiidae. The transcript has 2 exons.
CCCGCAUUCGAAACGGCGUCCUCCGUAGAAAAAUCACGCGACGAAUUAUAAAAGUUUUGCAGCAUAUUCUUCUGGAAUUAACUGAUCUAAGUUAAGGACUCUUCGAGUCCAACUGUGCGAUAUUUACAUUGAAGAAACUCGCCUGCCC